This is a non-coding RNA of Otolemur garnettii (small-eared galago), 288 nucleotides long. Lineage: Eukaryota; Metazoa; Chordata; Mammalia; Primates; Galagidae. The record is from Rfam.
GACGGUUUAGUGUGCCUGUAGUCUCAGCUACUUGGGAGGCUGAAACAGGAGGAUUGCUUGAGUCAAGGAGUUCUAGGCUGUAGUGCACUAGGCCGAUUGGGUGUCCACACUAAGUUCGGCAUCAAUAUGGUGAUCUCCCAGAGGUGGGGGGCCACCAGGUUGCGUAAGGCCACCAGUGUAGGUCAGAAAUGGAGCAGGUCAAAGCUCCCGUGCUGAUCAGUCGUGGUAUCGUGCCUGUGAGUAGCAACUGCCCUCCAGCCUGGAAAACAUGGUAAGACCCCCAUCUCU